RNAcentral lists this non-coding RNA (24 nucleotides) under Arabidopsis thaliana (thale cress). The record is from RNAcentral. Lineage: Eukaryota; Viridiplantae; Streptophyta; Magnoliopsida; Brassicales; Brassicaceae.
AGAAUCAAUGCCUAUCAAGACACC